GGACAGGCUUAUUUGAAUUUCCAAUACGAUGAUGAAGAAGACCAUGAACAUCAUGUUGGCUUUAAAGGCAAAGGGAAACACUUGAUUGGUGAUACAAACUUGAUGUUAAAUUUGACCCCCAUACGGUCGCUAGGAUAUGUCGACCCUGGGUGGGAUCAUGGUGUUGCUCAGGAUGAGAGGAAGAAAAAGGUCAAGUGUAAUUAUUGUGAUAAAGUUGUUAGUGGAGGUAUCAACCGAUUUAAACAGCACCUAGCCAGAAUUCCUGGCGAAGUAGCACCUUGUAAAAAUGCUCCUGAGGAAGUGUACCUUAAAAUAAAAGAAAAUAUGAAAUGGCACCGUACUGGCAGGGGACAAAGACAGAUGGAUACCAAAAAUAUCUGCUUUCUGUAAGCAAUCUGAUAAUGAAGAUGAAGAAGAUGAGCAUGAACAAGAUGCCCUACUUCGUAAGAGCAAGGAAAGGCUGGUAAUUGGUGAUAGAAUAUUGGGGAAUGAUUUGAGAGUGACUUACAAGGGAAUGACUUCUAGUAAUGGCUCUGAACCUUUAUUUAAAAAAUCAAGAUUGGACUCUGUUUUUCUGAAUACUCCAAAUAGUAUAAUGCCACCAUCUUGCAAACAGUUAAAGAUGAAAACUAGGUCCUGCAGAAAAUCUCGCAAAGAAGUUAUUUCUGCAAUUUGCAAAUUUUUUUACCAUGCAGGAAUUCCAAUACAAGCAGCAAAUUCCCUGUACUUCCAUAAGAUGCUUGAGUUGGUUGGUCAAUAUGGACCGGGUUUGGUUGGCCCUCAGAGCCAGGUGAUAUCUGGUCGCUUCCUACAGGAGGAAAUUGCAACUAUUAAAAACUACCUAUUUGAGUACAAGGCAUCCUGGGCAAUCACUGGUUGUUCAAUAAUGGCUGAUAGUUGGAUGGAUAUUGAGGGUAGGACAUUGAUCAAUAUUUUAGUUUCUUGCCCCCAUGGCGUGUACUUUGUUGCUUCAGUUGAUGCCAGUGAUAUGCUAGAAGAUGCUUAAACAGACUUAAAG
RNAcentral lists this unclassified non-coding RNA (1018 nucleotides) under Hevea brasiliensis (rubber tree). Lineage: Eukaryota; Viridiplantae; Streptophyta; Magnoliopsida; Malpighiales; Euphorbiaceae. The record is from RNAcentral.